AGAUAUGAUCAGAUUGCUUUGAGGACUGAAGUUGACUUUUGUGGAGCUGAUAAAAUGUCCCUUGGAGAGACUGGCCUUGUACCUUGUCUACAUGAUUCCCUUACAAGCUUCCUGAUUUUGUGUCUCAGCUCUGUCAACCUGCUUGAAGCUGCAAGGAAUUUGGUGCUCGGGGACAGGCCUCCACAAGUCCAAUGAAGUUGGCUGCGUUUCUGAUUCACUUCUCUAUCCAAGAAUAAAAAUAGGGGCUGAUCUACUCAAACGAUCCUGGGAGAUUAAAAGAUUUUGAAG
This is a long non-coding RNA of Homo sapiens (human), 288 nucleotides long. Lineage: Eukaryota; Metazoa; Chordata; Mammalia; Primates; Hominidae. The record is from Ensembl.